Molecule: non-coding RNA, 606 nt
Organism: Sesamum indicum (sesame)
Lineage: Eukaryota; Viridiplantae; Streptophyta; Magnoliopsida; Lamiales; Pedaliaceae
Source: RefSeq, a predicted model, not a curated record
CACCGAGCUCCAAUCAGCUUUUUGUUACAAUGUUUAGCAGCACUGAAUUGAUCUCCAGAUUGGCAGAAUCCCUUCCACCCAGAAGGGAUUUCUCCCAGCCCUUCAUCACGAAAAGCUUUAGACUCCGGCCAUAUUCCUACAGCUUGUAAAACGAAUUUGGCAUCACGCCUACUACAUCAGGAUGCUCUGUCAAAAUGUAUCAUCUUCAUCAGAAACCAGUAUAUACAACAUUACUGAUUUUCUUCAACAUGUAUAUCGACAGUAGUCACAACAAGAGAGAGAGAGAGAGAGAGACUUACUGACACAUUACUACUCUCAGCAAAGGCCAGCCUUAGAGUUUUGUCAUGGCCAUCAAGCAGACAAACAAGAAGCUGAAUGAGGAGUAGAGUAAAGAAUGAAAUGGUAUUGCUCAUCUUAUCCAUGAACAGUAACCAGACCAGACUAAGAUCUUAUAUAUUGUAGUCGUCGAGAUUCAGUGAUGCUAUUGCUCCCAAGCAGGUUUCCUUUUAUAGCGAUGAACUCGUGAGAUUACUAAACGAGUAAGCGAUAUCGACCCAAACUUUUUUUACUGAAAAAGGUAGAUAUAAGAUGUUAUGGGAUUGCUUC